CCUACGGGUGGCAGCAGUGAGGAAUAUUGGUCAAUGGGCGCAAGCCUGAACCAGCCAAGUCGCGUGAGGGCUGACGGUCCUAUGGAUUGUAAACCUCUUUUGUCGGGGAGCAAGGCCCGCCACGUGUGGCGGGAAGGAGAGUACCCGAAGAAAAAGCAUCGGCUAACUCCGUGCCAGCAGCCGCGGUAAUACGGAGGAUGCGAGCGUUAUCCGGAUUUAUUGGGUUUAAAGGGUGCGUAGGCGGACAGUCAGGUCCGCGGUAAAAAUGCGGUGCUCACCGCCGUACAGCCGUUGAAACUGGCAGUCUUGAGUGGGCGAGAAGUAUGCGGAAUGCGUGGUGUAGCGGUGAAAUGCGUAGAUAUCGAGAGGAACACUCGUGGCGAAGGCGGGUUCCUGGACAUUAACUGACGCUGAGGCACGAAGGCCAGGGGAGCGAAAGGGAUUAGAUACCCCAGUAGUC
Molecule: ribosomal RNA, 460 nt
Filed under: uncultured bacterium
Lineage: Bacteria
Description: partial 16S ribosomal RNA
Rfam family: Bacterial small subunit ribosomal RNA
Source: RNAcentral